Molecule: long non-coding RNA, 546 nt
Filed under: Coturnix japonica (Japanese quail)
Lineage: Eukaryota; Metazoa; Chordata; Aves; Galliformes; Phasianidae
Description: lncRNA (ENSCJPG00005002120.1)
Source: RNAcentral
UCUAUAUGGCCAUGUAGGGUCUAUAUGGGCUUAUUUAGGGUCAAUAUGGGCCUAUUUGGGGUCUAUAUGGGCUUAUUUAGGGUCUAUAUGGCCCUUUUGGGGUUAAUAUGGGUCUAUUUGGGGUCGAUAUGGGCCUAUUUGGGGUCUAUAUGGCCCCAUUUGGGGUCUAUAUGGGUCAAUAUAGGCCCUUUUGGGGUCAAUAUGGGCUUAUUUAGGGUCUAUAUGUGUCUAUAUGGCCCUUUUGGGGUCAAUAUGGGCCAUUUAGGGUCAAUAUGGGCCUAUUUGGGGUCAAUAGGGUCUAUAUGGGUCCAUUUAUGGUCUAUAUGGCACUUUUGGGGUCUAUAUGGGUCAAUAUGGGCCCAUUUAUGGUCAAUAUGGGUCUAUAUGGCCCUUUUGGAGUCAAUAUGGGCCUAUUUAGGGUCAAUAUGGGUCUAUAUGGGCUUAUUUAGGGUCAAUAUGGGUCUAUAUGGCCCUUUUGGGGUCAAUAUGGGCCCUUUUGGGAUCAAUACAGGCAUAUUUAGGGUCAAUAUGGGCCCUUUUGGGGUC